Molecule: ribosomal RNA, 461 nt
Filed under: uncultured bacterium
Lineage: Bacteria
Description: bacterial SSU rRNA
Rfam family: Bacterial small subunit ribosomal RNA
Source: RNAcentral
ACGAACGCUGGCGGCGUGCUUAACACAUGCAAGUCGAGCGGAAAGGCCUUUCGGGGUACUCGAGCGGCGAACGGGUGAGUAACACGUGAGUAAUCUGCCCUUCACUUCGGGAUAACUAUCGGAAACGGUGGCUAAUACCGGAUAUGACCAAUCACUGCAUGGUGUGUUGGUGGAAAGAUUUAUUGGUGGGGGAUGUGCUCGCGGCCUAUCAGCUUGUUGGUGAGGUAAUGGCUCACCAAGGCUUCGACGGGUAGCCGGCCUGAGAGGUUGACCGGCCACACUGGGACUGAGACACGGCCCAGACUCCUACGGGAGGCAGCAGUGGGGAAUAUUGGACAAUGGGCGGAAGCCUGAUCCAGCAACGCCGCGUGAGGGAUGACGGCCUUCGGGUUGUAAACCUCUUUCGCCUAGGACGAAGCGAGAGUGACGGUACUAGGUAAAGAAGCACCGGCCAACUACGU